UUUUCCCGUUCCUCUCCGCAUCUCCCUCUCGUCCUGCAGUUUCCUCUCACCCCGCAGAACCGAAGUCUAGGGUUCCGUUCUCCUAGGCUAGGCCGCCGCCUGACCAUCGUGCUCCCUCUCCCUGCUCUCGCAUUGCUCAGCUGAUGUCCGCGUCGCCAUCCCUAUAUCCGCUAAUCCGCUCCACUUACACCACCCAAACCCUAGCCCGCCCACCUCUCCCCUCCACCUCCACUCCCCUCCGCAUCAAUGGUUACUUGCUCACCGAAGCCCACGUAGAGGAGGCGCCGCCUAGCUCACGCGAGGAUGCUGGAGCGGUUGGCCUCCAUCGCACGCCGCCACGAGCCCACGACCCAGUCCUCCCCUCUCCUGCCGUGACGACUGAGAGCUCAUAUGGAGGACGACGGCAGAGCGCCCACAUCAUGCGAACCAAGCGCCGCCGAAGACGGCCAGGACUCCGUGCUAUUCAUGGCCACCACCGGCUUCCGCUCUCCGGAACUGGGCAGAGAAGGCCCGAUCUCGGCCUGCAGGGGCCUGGAUCCGAGAGACCCCCUUUUAUCACUUAAAACAAUCCGAUUUGUUUCUGCUGUUUUCGUAGAGUCUUGUUCUAUGGUAGCAUUGGUGGCCUAGAUGGAAGCAGUAAGCACGAGAGAUGGACAGAGAGCCGGCAGAAGGACCUGCAGAUGUCGUGGUUCUCUUGGACAAUCACAAAUUUCAGCAGGCACAAUAGGGUGAAGCACUACUAUGAUGUAUUUGUUGUUGGUGUGUUCUUAGUAUUCCCAAGGGGAGUAACAUGGAGCAAUUAUGAAUUUACCUGGGACUCACACAACCUCCCAUAUGGUUGGAGCCCAUUUUCAUGGCAGUUGUUUGCCAAACCCAAAACACGUUUUUGUUCUGGAGGAGAGCACAUAUUGAUAGCUAGCUCAUGUUGGAUUGUUCACUAAUCUUGCUGUAAGCAUAUUUGAGCUGUACUUACAAUCCAGGCUGGAUUUUCUUAGUGUAAGCAUAUUUCAGUUGUACUUAAAAUUCAUUUUGCAUUUGUUUGUAGUGAGAAGGCAGGGUCUUUGUAUUAUUUUCAUUCAGUUUUUUACUACCCAUAAGCUCCAUCAUCGAAGUUGCAGUAAGAAUUUGUACUUGUUAGUCGGCCGAUGAUCAUGGUGUUUCGACUUGUAGACUCGAGAAUGGUUCAUGAAUAAUCACAAUUUUUAAAUGUCAUUGUUCGUGAAUUAACCUUUGGCUCCGAAUAAUUAGAGGGUCAAUUUUGUACACUCUUGUUUGCUUUCAUAGUACAUGCCUUUAAUUUUGGUUUUACUGUUCAUGGAGAUUUCAGGAUAGGGGGCAGCGUCGCAGGGGUCAUGAACAAUGACAGGUGAUUCUGUUUGUGCUUGUGUUGAGGUCAACAUCACUUACACUUGCGCUAUUUUCAAGAUAAAGGGGAAAAGGACUGGUACUUAUGCUAUGGUCGAAAUUAAAUUGCACAUAACUCAGUUCAGUGACUGGGCGAAUCCAUUAGCUGCUUAAGAGACUUAUGUAAUUUACUCAAAUAUUUUCUGCCCUGUUAGUAUGUUAGUAGUACAGAUAAUAAUCAUUGCAGGAUAUAGGUCGUUUCUGAAAUUUAAAACUAUUAAUUAUCCAGCAAUGAAUGUUAAGAAAAUAUCUUCAUGAUAUGUACAUGCUAUUGUCAGCAAGUUGUUCUUUUGUUUAUAACUCAAAAUCAGUUGUAGAUGCUAUUUUAGGGACCUUUUCCUAACCACUCAAAUCAGUUGCUAUUACUCUAAAAGUAAAUCACAAAAGAGUGUUGCAAAGAUGUUGUAUUCAAACCUAUAAAGGAAAUAAGGAUUAUAAUGUGUGCUGUGUUUUUGGAAUUAUUGUUCGACAAGUGGUUAAUGAACACCAAGCUUCCAAACGAUCCUUGAUGAUCCUUAUGUGUCCUGUUAUUGGCAUCUUUCAAAAUGUAAUUGCUGGCUCUAUAUAGGCCCGUGACUUUUUGUGUGUGAAAUAGUAAGUAGUUCACUAUCAGGUGCAUACAUGUGUAAUACAAAUUGAGGUUAAUUAAUUUAGUGCUUUUGAUUUUGCCGUAUAUAUAGGUCCAGGACUUUUUCGUGUGUAAAAACUAGGUAAAAUUCGCUUUUAUAAAACUAGGUAAAAUUCGCUUUUAUUUAUUUUAGUUUUGAAGCAUCGUCCACUGAUGCUUAUUUAUCAGAGCUUCAGAUGAAAUUGCGAGAUAUCUUCAGAGCCAUCUAUUAUUACACUAAAAUAGACAGGUGGUUUCUCUUCACCAUUGGCUACGGAUAAGUGGUACAUAUCUGUUAUUCUUUAUCAUUAAUAUAGUGAUUACAGAAAUGCAUGUCUCCUUUUUAUUACAUUUUGCACUUGAUGUUCCCAGUAUCCUACACAUCGUUUUCAUGUAGUGCUACUUCUGUAUCCUCAACGGGACAACAUUAUUGAUUCUGAAAGCUACACUUCAUGGCAAAAAUGUAUGGAAUUAUGAUCACUGUCUUGAUUUAUUCAGUGUGCUAAUGAAUGAACUAGAAUGCUGCUUGUUGAUGUUCUGCUUGUUUGAUUUAGUGGCUCAGAGUUAGUUGCUUCUGAUAUUUUGUUCUUGGGAUAUAUGGUAAUGAUAAUUUAAUUUUGUCACACUGUUCUGGACUGGAUAUGUGAUUUGUGGAGGGCAAGUUGUAUAGUUCUUCAACAGAGGGGCUUCUUUACAGAGCCCAAGAACACUAAAUUGUGAUGUAAUUACUUGCUAAGAUAUACUGUACUACUUAAAGGAGGGAGAUUGGGGAUUUCUCAAUGCUUGUCUUGUUGCCUGUGUGCAUUGCUGUCUGCUACCGUGUCGCUUGAUGUUCCGAAGCAACAUUUUAAUAAUCUAAUCAUUUUCUCUUGGAGGUUUGGAUAAUUGGAUAGUGUCGGUGAUUGAUUGUGGAUUGUUUGGAUUGUUUUGGCCAUUCUGAUUAGAUUGAUGACAAAGAGAGCAAUAGUUUCUUUGGAGUAUAGCAGUUGUAGUUAAGAGAACGCCAGUCUAGACCUCUGUCUAGCCUAGCAAAUUUGGAUCAUAGGAGACUUGCAAAAGUAAUCGAGUACAGGUUGCUGGAAAUAUUUCCAGAUAAGUUUGAGUCAAUAAUUAGCCGACGACUCAUUUGUACUAUUUUCAGGAAGCUACAAAGAUGGCUAUUUUUACUUUGCCCUUGUCAAAGCAUGCUUUAUAGCUCUACAGCUUUAAGUUAUAAAGUGGAAGGAGUAAUAUUGCCGUUGUCAAAGCAUGAUUUACAGCCCUAUUCCAGCUUUAAGACAGAAAGUGGAAGGAGUAACAUUGCUACUAUUUUUAGAUUGUUUCCUGUUGGAACUUGUGCGCUGAUCGAAGGUACCAUUUUAGGCAAGAAGGUUGUGGAGAAAAACAAGACUUUGGCAGAGGCUUUGAUUCGUUCAGGUAGACACUAGAAGAGAUGAUCACCAGUUUUUUUGUAAAGGACGGAUUGGGGAAGUCAGGGCGAGGCAUGGUGGUGGUGGUGGUGGUGGUGCUUGAGGGUGGGCGACUCCUCGGGGAGGAGAUUGUGGUUUCAGGUGACCAAACCAGAGCAGAUGGGGUCAAGCGUGGGGUUGUGGACGGGCUGGAUCAUCAUAUUGACUCGGUUCCGUCGCACCAGAGGGGAAGAAGACAACUUCUGUGCGAUUCAGAAAAUUGAGUGCUUGGAUGGUUAUUUGUGAAAUUAAAGCAACUUGUGUUCUGCUUUUUUUUGUGGGUUAGUUUAAACCCGAGUUAUGUGAGAUUGCAAAAAAAAACAUUGUGAAAGAGAAAAGCUAGGACGGGUAUCAUUUUACUUCUUGACAUAUUUUAGAGUUCAUACAAUGUCGUCUUGUAUCAAGAUCUACAAUGUCGUCUUGUAUAAAGAUCUCUUUAUACACGUAUAUCUAGUUAGGAGGUUUGUUA
Molecule: long non-coding RNA, 3928 nt
Organism: Lolium perenne
Lineage: Eukaryota; Viridiplantae; Streptophyta; Magnoliopsida; Poales; Poaceae
Source: RefSeq, a predicted model, not a curated record